RNAcentral lists this transfer RNA (85 nucleotides) under Felis catus (domestic cat). It matches the Rfam family "tRNA". From Rfam's summary of the family: Transfer RNA (tRNA) molecules are approximately 80 nucleotides in length. Their secondary structure includes four short double-helical elements and three loops (D, anti-codon, and T loops). Lineage: Eukaryota; Metazoa; Chordata; Mammalia; Carnivora; Felidae. The record is from Rfam by way of RNAcentral. RNAcentral also lists the same sequence under 2 other names.
GCCUGGGUGGCUCAGUUAGUUGAGUGUCUGACUUCAGAUCAGGUCAUGAUCUCACGGUUCAUGGGUUUGAGCCCCAUGUCGGGCU